Cricetulus griseus (Chinese hamster) is the source of this 76-nucleotide microRNA precursor. Ensembl annotates it as microRNA 879. Its record names the gene Mir879. The record is from Ensembl. NCBI's taxonomy places the organism in Eukaryota, Metazoa, Chordata, Mammalia, Rodentia, Cricetidae.
UUCUAGAUCCAGAGGCUUAUAGAUCUAAGCCUUGGAUUAAAGAGGCUUAUGGCUUCAAGCUUUCGGAGCUGGAGGC